GCUGCUACUGCUACUGCUGCUGCUGUGAUAUGAAUACAAGUGCCUCUCAUCAUGAUUCUCUCAAACACAGGUACAGCAAGCAUCAAGACUAGUGAGAGUUCCAGUUCUAGCAGACAUGGGAAGAAAAGACACAGUAGUGAAACCUCACAGCCUUUUGGGAAACCCAGCUUCAGUUUCCUGAAGGAUGCUAUUCCCCUGUUCUGUCUAUCCAAACAAAGAAGUGAAGGUCUGGAGCAACUCUAUGAUAAGAAUGCUAAUAU
This is a long non-coding RNA of Engraulis encrasicolus (European anchovy), 260 nucleotides long. RefSeq lists it as uncharacterized. The transcript has 3 exons. The record is from RefSeq and is a predicted model, not a curated record. NCBI's taxonomy places the organism in Eukaryota, Metazoa, Chordata, Actinopteri, Clupeiformes, Engraulidae.